UAAGAUGGCUGAAAUAAGUCGUGGAUUGUAGCUCCAUAUAUAAAGGUUUAAAUCCUUUUCUUAU
RNAcentral lists this transfer RNA (64 nucleotides) under Anablepsoides cryptocallus. RNAcentral describes it as "tRNA-Tyr". It matches the Rfam family "tRNA". From Rfam's summary of the family: Transfer RNA (tRNA) molecules are approximately 80 nucleotides in length. Their secondary structure includes four short double-helical elements and three loops (D, anti-codon, and T loops). The record is from RNAcentral. Lineage: Eukaryota; Metazoa; Chordata; Actinopteri; Cyprinodontiformes; Rivulidae.